GACGAACGCUGGCGGCGUGCCUAACACAUGCAAGUCGAACGGAAAGGCUCCAGCUUGCUGGAGUACUCGAGUGGCGAACGGGUGAGUAACACGUGGGUAAUCUGCCCUGCACUCUGGGAUAAGCCUGGGAAACUGGGUCUAAUACUGGAUAUGACCUUUCUCCUUAUGGGGUUUGGUGGAAAGUUUUUCGGUGUAGGGUGAGCCCGCGGCCUAUCAGCUUGUUGGUGGGGUGAUGGCCUACCAAGGCGACGACGGGUAGCCGGCCUGAGAGGGUGAUCGGCCACAUUGGGACUGAGAUACGGCCCAGACUCCUACGGGAGGCAGCAGUGGGGAAUAUUGCACAAUGGGCGGAAGCCUGAUGCAGCGACGCCGCGUGAGGGAUGACGGCCUUCGGGUUGUAAACCUCUUUCAGCAGGGACGAAGCGUAAGUGACGGUACCUGCAGAAGAAGCACCGGCUAACUAUGUG
RNAcentral lists this ribosomal RNA (467 nucleotides) under uncultured bacterium. RNAcentral describes it as "partial 16S ribosomal RNA". It matches the Rfam family "Bacterial small subunit ribosomal RNA", at positions 28 to 507 of the family's 1533-position model. The record is from RNAcentral.